UGGGUCCUGGUGCACAUAUAACUCUUUUAGG
RNAcentral lists this non-coding RNA (31 nucleotides) under Mus musculus (house mouse). Lineage: Eukaryota; Metazoa; Chordata; Mammalia; Rodentia; Muridae. The record is from RNAcentral.